This 1068-nucleotide ribosomal RNA is filed under the name Alicyclobacillus sp. enrichment culture clone MRT18-32. RNAcentral describes it as "bacterial SSU rRNA". It matches the Rfam family "Bacterial small subunit ribosomal RNA", at positions 336 to 1397 of the family's 1533-position model. The record is from RNAcentral. Lineage: Bacteria; Bacillati; Bacillota; Bacilli; Caryophanales; Alicyclobacillaceae.
CUCCUACGGGAGGCAGCAGUAGGGAAUCUUCCGCAAUGGGCGCAAGCCUGACGGAGCAACGCCGCGUGAGUGAGGAAGGCCUUCGGGUCGUAAAACUCAGUCACCUGGGAAGAGAGGUAUGGGGAGUGGAAUGCCCCAUACGAGACGGUACCAGGGGAGGAAGCCCCGGCUAACUACGUGCCAGCAGCCGCGGUAAUACGUAGGGGGCAAGCGUUGUCCGGAAUCACUGGGCGUAAAGCGUGCGUAGGCGGUCUUUCAAGUCCGGGGUGAAAACUCAAGGCUCAACCUUGAGAAUGCCUUGGAAACUGGGGGACUUGAGUACUGGAGAGGCAAGGGGAAUUCCACGUGUAGCGGUGAAAUGCGUAGAGAUGUGGAGGAAUACCAGUGGCGAAGGCGCCUUGCUGGACAGUGACUGACGCUGAGGCACGAAAGCGUGGGGAGCAAACAGGAUUAGAUACCCUGGUAGUCCACGCCGUAAACGAUGAGUGCUAGGUGUUGGGGGUUCAUCCCCUCAGUGCCGAAGGAAACCCAAUAAGCACUCCGCCUGGGGAGUACGGUCGCAAGACUGAAACUCAAAGGAAUUGACGGGGGCCCGCACAAGCAGUGGAGCAUGUGGUUUAAUUCGAAGCAACGCGAAGAACCUUACCAGGGCUUGACAUCCCUCUGACCGGUUCAGAGAUGGACCUUCCCUUCGGGGCAGAGGAGACAGGUGGUGCAUGGUUGUCGUCAGCUCGUGUCGUGAGAUGUUGGGUUAAGUCCCGCAACGAGCGCAACCCUUGACCUGUGUUACCAGCACGUAAUGGUGGGGACUCACAGGUGACUGCCGGCGUAAGUCGGAGGAAGGUGGGGAUGACGUCAAAUCAUCAUGCCCUUUAUGUCCUGGGCUACACACGUGCUACAAUGGGCGGUACAACGGGAAGCGAGACCGCGAGGUGGAGCGAAACCCAAAAAGCCGUUCGUAGUUCGGAUUGCAGGCUGCAACCCGCCUGCAUGAAGCCGGAAUUGCUAGUAAUCGCGGAUCAGCAUGCCGCGGUGAAUCCGUUCCCGGGCCUUGCACACACCGCCCGU